Molecule: ribosomal RNA, 323 nt
Filed under: uncultured bacterium
Lineage: Bacteria
Description: bacterial SSU rRNA
Rfam family: Bacterial small subunit ribosomal RNA
Source: RNAcentral
GAUGAACGCUGGCGGUGUGCCUAACACAUGCAAGUCGAGCGAUGAAACCCUUCGGGGUGGAUUAGCGGCGGACGGGUGAGUAACACGUGGGUAACCUGCCUCAAAGAGGGAAUAGCCUUCCGAAAGGAAGAUUAAUACCGCAUAAUAUGUUUUGGUCGCAUGACUGAGACAUCAAAGGAGUAAUCCCGCUUUUGAGAUGGACCCCGCGGCGCAUUAGCUAGUUGGUGAGGUAACGGCUCACCAAGGCGACGAUGCGUAGCCGACCUGAGAGGGUGAUCGGCCACAUUGGAACUGAGACACGGUCCAGACUCCUACGGGAGCUG